AUUGAACGCUGGCGGCAGGCCUAACACAUGCAAGUCGAACGAGUGGCGGACGGGUGAGUAAUAUCUGGGAAACUGCCUGAUUGAGGGGGAUAACUACCUUAAACGGUAGCUAAUACCGCCUACCAUCUGAUGUGCCCAGAUGGGAUUAGCUUGUUGGUUGGGUAACGGCUCACCAAGGCGACGAUCCCUGGCUGGGCUGAGAGGAGGACCAGCCACACUGGAACUGAGACACGGUCCAGUCUCCUACUGGAGGCGGCAGUGGGGGAUAUUGCACAAUGGACGGAGGCCUGGUGCAGCCAUGCCGCGUGUAUUGAGAAAGCCUUCGGGUUGGAAAGUACUUUCAGCGGGGAGGAGUUACCAGCAGAAGAAGCACCGGCUAACUCCGUGCCAGCAGCCGCGGUAAUUC
This 406-nucleotide ribosomal RNA is filed under the name uncultured bacterium. RNAcentral's name for it is "partial 16S ribosomal RNA". It matches the Rfam family "Bacterial small subunit ribosomal RNA", at positions 30 to 526 of the family's 1533-position model. The record is from RNAcentral.